GUUACAUGGCUUGGAAAUUAAUAAAUUGAAAAUAAAACUUGAAGCAUCAAAAAAUUAAGUAAUGGAGAAAGAAAAUUAAUUUUUAAGUUUAAAAGUUCUGUAAAGGAAAAAGUCAAAUAUAAAAAAAUCAGUUUAGUUUACGUACUUUUUGCAUCACGGCUUAGCAAGAGCUAACCUAAGGUUUUAGAUUCUCGAAAGUUAGUCGAGCUAUUUUUUUCUAGGAGAAUUAGGCCCAGAAAAGUUAAAACAAAAUACUAAAAAUGUAGCAAAAUUUUAGCAAAAGAAAAAAAUAGAAAUGAAAUUUUAUUCGCGCUAUCGAUAGCUAGUUUUCUUGGAAACGUAUAGAAGUACGGCAGUAAGGUUAGACAACCAAAAAUAUCAAAAUUUGUAGUCUGUCUUAUAGAUAAUUUUUUUAAGGAUAAGCUUAAAAAUAUAUAGUAGUAAAUAUUUUUAAAGUUUGUGAUGUGAGCCUGAAAUUAGCUAACACUUAAAACUUGUUAUAAAGUAGCAUCAAAAGAUAAUAAAAUAGAUAUAUUUUUACUCUAGUUUUUACAAGAAUAAAAAAUAAAACUACUUAAUUUAUUAACUUAUGCUAAGAUGAGUAUUAAAAUUCUGAAUAUAUUUAAGGAACUAAAUAAUUUUAAUUCUUAUUAACUUAAAUUUUGAUUUAAAUCAAAUAAAAAAAAGGAACUCGGCAAAAUAAAUUGCUUCGCCUGUUUAUCAAAAACAUGGCUCUUCGUGAUAAAAGAAUGAAGAGUCGGACCUGCCCAGUGAAAAUUUUUAACGGCCGCGGUACUCUGACCGUGCAAAGGUAGCAUAAUCAUUUGCCUUAUAAUUGAAGGCUUGUAUGAAUGGUUUAACGAGAGCAAUACUGUCUCUUUUUUAAUUAAUAGAAUUUGACUUUUAGGUGAAGAGGCCUAAAUAAAAUUGAAGGACAAGAAGACCCUGUCGAGCUUAAAAGAAAAGUAAAAAACAAACUAUAGCUAUAAAUGUAUAAUUACUCAAGCUUUUUGGUUGGGGCGACUAAGGAACAAGAAAAGCUUCUUUAUGUGUAUUAGCUUGUGAGCAAUGAUCCAGUAAAUCUGAUUAAAAGAAUUAGUUACCGCAGGGAUAACAGCAUAAUCUCUCUUGAGAGACCUAAUCGAAAGAGGGGGUUGUGACCUCGAUGUUGGACUAGAAUAUCCUAAAGAUGCAGAAGUCUUUGAAGGUUGGUCUGUUCGACCAUUAAAAUUCUACAUGAUCUGAGUUC
RNAcentral lists this ribosomal RNA (1249 nucleotides) under Zeacumantus lutulentus. Its description in RNAcentral is "partial 16S ribosomal RNA". The stretch from base 611 to 1249 matches the Rfam family "Archaeal large subunit ribosomal RNA", at positions 1423 to 2681 of the family's 2987-position model. Lineage: Eukaryota; Metazoa; Mollusca; Gastropoda; Cerithiidae. The record is from RNAcentral.